UACGUAGGGGGCGAGCGUUGUCCGGAAUCAUUGGGCGUAAAGCGCGUGUAGGCGGCCCGAUAAGUCCGCUGUGAAAGUCCAGGGCUCAACCCUGGGAUGCCGGUGGAUACUGUCGGGCUCGAGUCCGGAAGAGGAGAGUGGAAUUCCUGGUGUAGCGGUGAAAUGCGCAGAUAUCAGGAAGAACACCCGUGGCUAAGGCGGCUCUCUAGUACGGUACUGACGCUGAGACGCGAAAGCGUGGGGAGCGAACAGG
RNAcentral lists this ribosomal RNA (253 nucleotides) under uncultured bacterium. RNAcentral's name for it is "partial 16S ribosomal RNA". It matches the Rfam family "Bacterial small subunit ribosomal RNA", at positions 524 to 776 of the family's 1533-position model. The record is from RNAcentral.